CGAAGCAGCACAGGUGGUCGCUCGCCUUACGGCGGGAGGAAAGUCCGAGCUCCAAAGGGCAAGGCGCUCUGUAACGCAGAGUCCCGGUGACGGGAAGGAAAGUGCCACAGAAAGGGAAACCACUCCGGCUUUUGCCGGAGAAAGGGUGAAAAGGCGUCCCGAUUUAUCGGGAGCUGUCUGUUAAAGGCAGCAGGUAAGAGCUCACCAGUGCCCCGGGUGACCGGGCGCUUGGUAAACCCCGCCUGGAGCAAGGCCAAAUAGGUUCCGCCUUGAGAGGGGCCCCCUCAAAUCCCCGUACUGCGGGGAGACGGAACGGGUUAGGCCGCAAGACCUCGUACAACACGGGGCACAGAUGAAUGACCACGCCCUGUAUAUCAGGGAACAGAACUCGGCUUAUGGGCUGCUUCGGCAG
This 412-nucleotide RNase P RNA is filed under the name Nitrospiraceae bacterium. RNAcentral's name for it is "RNase P RNA component class A". It matches the Rfam family "Bacterial RNase P class A". Rfam says of the family: Ribonuclease P (RNase P) is a ubiquitous endoribonuclease, found in archaea, bacteria and eukarya as well as chloroplasts and mitochondria. Lineage: Bacteria; Pseudomonadati; Nitrospirota; Nitrospiria; Nitrospirales; Nitrospiraceae. The record is from RNAcentral.